This 199-nucleotide small nucleolar RNA is filed under the name Gorilla gorilla gorilla (western lowland gorilla). Its description in RNAcentral is "Small nucleolar RNA U3". The stretch from base 57 to 199 matches the Rfam family "Small nucleolar RNA U3", at positions 75 to 219 of the family's 219-position model. Rfam says of the family: Small nucleolar RNAs (snoRNAs) are involved in the processing and modification of rRNA in the nucleolus. There are two main classes of snoRNAs: the box C/D class, and the box H/ACA class. U3 snoRNA is a member of the box C/D class. The record is from Rfam by way of RNAcentral. Lineage: Eukaryota; Metazoa; Chordata; Mammalia; Primates; Hominidae.
UAGUCCCUGGUGCCAAAAAGGUUGGGGACUGCUGAAGAGCACCGGAAACCAGGAGGAGCAGUGAGGAGGAGGCACAGGGUUCUCCCCUGAGAGCCAGGCCAGCUCUUGGUGUUGCUUCGCUGCAGGUGCCAUUUGGCAUUGAGGAUUGUUUUUCUCUUCCUCCGGGAAAGUAAGAGGGAGAGGACACAGUCUGAGUGGU